AAAAAUAAUUUUUGUGCCUUGUUGAAUGUUGUGACGGAUGUUGUCUCUUUUAAUUUUGCAACCGUUUCAUCUUCUUUAGACCGUGAAUGGUGAAUAUGUUUAUAGAUUAUUGCAAGUUUGCCACCAACUCGUGAAAGUCAGCGAAUUAAUCGUUCGGGGAUUGUAAUAGCAUCAGGAACUGGAAAACGACGAUGUUGUAGUUUUCUUACAUUGCUAGUUUUCUACGAUGGGAUACCGAGCGUCUGUUCUUCGCAAGUCCAGGCCUGAUGCCAACACGAGCCGCGUCGAACAAUUAAUGGAUUUGGACAGCGGAGACACUGCGCAUCAUCCGCUGCCGGAGCUGGAACUGCGGAAUGCUCCGUCGCCUGUGCGCUCUUGGGACUGUUCGACACCAGCUGCAACACCAUCUUCCUCCAGUUCACGUUCUAAUACGUUGUCGGAAACGGAUGCGCGUCAAUCGAUUACGGAUUUCUCCAGAUUGCCGAUACACUGUACUCCUGCCGCUGACGAUGACGCCGAUGAUUUACCGGGCGGACCGUGCGGCCAUUUUCCCGUGUCGACACAAACCCCGGCUUCCCACGCGGUGGUACGAUUCUCUGACUUGCGCAGCCGUAAUUCUCCCUCCAGCAUUCCGAAUUUACUCCCCAUUCCGCAUAUAUUCCGCCGUACAUUGACCGAUACUGGGAUCUCAUGAAGGCCAGAAGCAUCAUUCUGCAGAAAGCAGCCGCAUCCGUACGCUUUGCCGGUGAUAUGGUGUAUGGUGAGGCAUCUACACGCAAUUCCCAACUCAUGAUAUCCGCGUUAAGAGAUGGUCUUAUACCCCAUCAGCCCCAAGCAACUCCAUCGCGAAUUCUCAGGUUAUUUGGAGUAUCACUGCAAAUCGACGUGGAGCGCCUAACACAUUUGGCCUUUAUGCUUCCGGGGUUUCAUGACUUCGCUCCUGAGGAUCAAAAGUCCUGCUCACUGACAAAUAUUUGGUUCACCAGUCGUUCUCUGUAGAUACUCAACUCCCGAUUCUUCUACAAAGGUGAAUACUACAUGUACAUGAACGGUCCAGACGGGAUCCAUCUGUGCCAGGCGAUGGCGGAUCUGAUGGGCUUCCCCCCGGAUUUUAUGCGCUUUAUCGGGGCAUUUCAAGAGAAAGUCAAUGAUAUUGGUCUUACACUAACGGAAACCUACUUGCUAUCAGCAGCAGCAAUUUUCACACCAGAUAUUGAGAAUGUGAGCAACAGAGCGUUAGUGGCGGCUCAGCAUGCAUUUUAUUUGGACGCGUUAUUCUAUCAAUUCGGACACCGUCUGAACAUCGCCGAUCGUGCCAUUGCCAGCGCGAAAGUGGAGCGAGUGGUGCAGCUGUUUUCCGUCCUGGACAGAGUCUCCGCGGAGUAUGUUCGGAAUCUGGAUUUAUCCACACUUCCGGUGAGAUCGCGGUGUAUUUUGUUUGCUGAAUCGGGAAGUGGCUGAAUUCCUGUUGAAGUUCCGAUACAGAUUCCUAAAGUGUAUACAGUAUUUUUUUAAAACGAGUGUUGCAGUUGGAGGCAACAUUUGUUGUAUUGUGAUUUAUCGUUUGUGGUUCAUUUUGAACUGUGAAUCUCUUCUUGAGUUUGACUGCUGAUUCUUUUAUUCUGCCAGGAUUACUUUGUAGCAGGGAAUUUCGGACUGUUAUAAAUUUAUGUAUUGUCG
This is a long non-coding RNA of Paramacrobiotus metropolitanus, 1680 nucleotides long. RefSeq lists it as uncharacterized. The transcript has 6 exons. Lineage: Eukaryota; Metazoa; Tardigrada; Eutardigrada; Parachela; Macrobiotidae. The record is from RefSeq and is a predicted model, not a curated record.